UUUAUUGUUAAAUAUGCUAGUCCUUUCAUGAUUAUGUGAUAGGUGGUGCAUGGCCGUUCUUAGUUCGUGGAGUGAUCUGUCUGCUUAAUUGCGUUUCACUAUAAGGAUCUAUAUUCUUUACAGUGUGCAGUGCAUUGACCCCUUCUUCGGAAGCGUGUGUCUUUACGCUCACACUUCAUUAGGUCCUGAAAGCAACGAACGUGACCGCAACCUCUUGUUGCCUCUGUGCUCCUACACGCUCAAUGCGCUAAACACUGGUUUUCUUAGCUUAGUGCGUUGGUUGAGGCUUUCUUAAACU
Molecule: ribosomal RNA, 298 nt
Filed under: Candeina nitida
Lineage: Eukaryota; Foraminifera; Rotaliida; Candeinidae
Description: partial small subunit ribosomal RNA
Source: RNAcentral